UACGUAGGGUCCGAGCGUUGUCCGGAAUUCCUGGGCGUAAAGAGCUCGUAGGUGGUUUGUCGCGUUGUUCGUGAAAACUCACAGCUUAACUGUGGGCGUGCGGGCGAUACGGGCAGACUGGAGUACUGCAGGGGAGACUGGAAUUCCUGGUGUAGCGGUGGAAUGCGCAGAUAUCAGGAGGAACACCGGUGGCGAAGGCGGGUCUCUAGGCAGUAACUGACGCUGAGGAGCGAAAGCGUGGGGAGCGAACAGG
This 253-nucleotide ribosomal RNA is filed under the name uncultured bacterium. RNAcentral's name for it is "partial 16S ribosomal RNA". It matches the Rfam family "Bacterial small subunit ribosomal RNA", at positions 524 to 776 of the family's 1533-position model. The record is from RNAcentral.